RNAcentral lists this ribosomal RNA (496 nucleotides) under uncultured bacterium. RNAcentral's name for it is "partial 16S ribosomal RNA". It matches the Rfam family "Bacterial small subunit ribosomal RNA", at positions 28 to 506 of the family's 1533-position model. The record is from RNAcentral.
GAUGAACGCUGGCGGCGUGCCUAAUACAUGCAAGUCGAGCGAACAGACGAGGAGCUUGCUCCUCUGACGUUAGCGGCGGACGGGUGAGUAACACGUGGAUAACCUACCUAUAAGACUGGGAUAACUUCGGGAAACCGGAGCUAAUACCGGAUAAUAUAUUGAACCGCAUGGUUCAAUAGUGAAAGACGGUUUUGCUGUCACUUAUAGAUGGAUCCGCGCCGCAUUAGCUAGUUGGUAAGGUAACGGCUUACCAAGGCAACGAUGCGUAGCCGACCUGAGAGGGUGAUCGGCCACACUGGAACUGAGACACGGGCCAGACUCCUACGGGAGGCAGCAGUAGGGAAUCUUCCGCAAUGGGCGAAAGCCUGACGGAGCAACGCCGCGUGAGUGAUGAAGGUCUUCGGAUCGUAAAACUCUGUUAUUAGGGAAGAACAAAUGUGUAAGUAACUAUGCACGUCUUGACGGUACCUAAUCAGAAAGCCACGGCGAACUACGU